GGUAUGGCUCAGAGGUAGAGCGCUUGCCUAGCAUGCAUGAGGCACUGGGUUCAAUUCUCAGCACC
RNAcentral lists this transfer RNA (65 nucleotides) under Ictidomys tridecemlineatus (thirteen-lined ground squirrel). RNAcentral's name for it is "Spermophilus tridecemlineatus (thirteen-lined ground squirrel) tRNA". It matches the Rfam family "tRNA". From Rfam's summary of the family: Transfer RNA (tRNA) molecules are approximately 80 nucleotides in length. Their secondary structure includes four short double-helical elements and three loops (D, anti-codon, and T loops). Further hydrogen bonds mediate the characteristic L-shaped molecular structure. tRNAs have two regions of fundamental functional importance: the anti-codon, which is responsible for specific mRNA codon recognition, and the 3' end, to which the tRNAs corresponding amino acid is attached (by aminoacyl-tRNA synthetases). tRNAs cope with the degeneracy of the genetic code in two manners: having more than one tRNA (with a specific anti-codon) for a particular amino acid; and 'wobble' base-pairing, i.e. permitting non-standard base-pairing at the 3rd anti-codon position. Lineage: Eukaryota; Metazoa; Chordata; Mammalia; Rodentia; Sciuridae. The record is from Rfam by way of RNAcentral.